GCUGGCGGCGUGCUUAACACAUGCAAGUCGAACGGACGAUGAAGAGCUUGCUUUUCAAAGUUAGUGGCGGACGGGUGAGUAACGCGUGGGUAACCUGCCUCAUACAGGGGGAUAGCAGCUGGAAACGGCUGAUAAAACCGCAUAAGCGCACAGCAUCGCAUGAUGCAGUGUGAAAAACUCCGGUGGUAUGAGAUGGACCCGCGUCUGAUUAGCUGGUUGGUGAGGUAACGGCCCACCAAGGCGACGAUCAGUAGCCGGCCUGAGAGGGUGACCGGCCACAUUGGGACUGAGACACGGCCCAAACUCCUACGGGAGGCAGCAGUGGGGAAUAUUGCACAAUGGGGGAAACCCUGAUGCAGCGACGCCGCGUGAAGGAAGAAGUAUCUCGGUAUGUAAACUUCUAUCAGCAGGGAAGAUAAUGACGGUACCUGACUAAGAAGCCCCGGCUAACUACGUGCCAGCAGCCGCGGUAAUACGUAGGGGGCAAGCGUUAUCCGGAUUUACUGGGUGUAAAGGGAGCGUAGGCGGCGGAGCAAGUCAGAAGUGAAAGCCCGGGGCUCAACCCCGGGACGGCUUUUGAAACUGCCCUGCUUGAUUUCAGGAGAGGUAAGCGGAAUUCCUAGUGUAGCGGUGAAAUGCGUAGAUAUUAGGAGGAACACCAGUGGCGAAGGCGGCUUACUGGACUGACAAUGACGCUGAGGCUCGAAAGCGUGGGGAGCA
Molecule: ribosomal RNA, 720 nt
Filed under: uncultured Lachnospiraceae bacterium
Lineage: Bacteria; Bacillati; Bacillota; Clostridia; Lachnospirales; Lachnospiraceae
Description: bacterial SSU rRNA
Rfam family: Bacterial small subunit ribosomal RNA
Source: RNAcentral